UGCGAUCGCGCGCGGUGCCGGCGGCUCUCGGAAGCAGGACGCGGCUGCUGCAGCUGGCAUCUGUGACUCGGCCUUCUCCACGGCAUUCUCCCGCCUGGCGGGUGCCCACCCCCGGCUGCCCGGGCCCCGCGGACUUGGAAACCUGAGGCCGAGAGAGGAUCUGCCUUUAGCGAGUUCCUGGACUGGCAGAGGGGUUUUCCCGGCGCAAUCUGUGGGUUCACGAGGGCGAUGCGCAGGGAUGAAAAGAGAAAAGGUGCGUCCAGGACCGGUGCUCUGCCAGCGCAAGGAGGCGGAGCGCAUUCAUGGGGUCCUCCCGGCGCCUGGCUUAUGCCUGCGGCGCGCCCACCCCUGGGGACCGCGAGGCAGCCGCUUGGGGACCCCAGGCGAGAUUCCCCGCCAUCUCUGCGGUGGAGAGGCUGGGGGUUGGCGGCGCUUUGGCCUUGAAUGGACAGUGGGGAAAGGGAUGGGGGCUCCCUAACGUGGAUUACUUGGCGCUUAUCAGCUGGGCUCAGAAGACCCAGGACUCCUCUUCAUUAGUGGAUUGAUUCCUUCUACCUAACAAUCGGUCGCUAAGCUGGAGGUGAAAUCAGAGGUUCCCUGCUGACUUGAUGAGAGCUUCGCCCCAAGAAAGAAGGCCAAGGACAGAGGCCUGGGGACGAUGACCAAGUGCUGGCUUCCUGGCCCACACCACCCACCGCAAAGCCUCCCAGAACCAGCGAAGGCCCCCAGCACCCCUUGAAGGACUUGGCUGAGGUCAGAUCACCUCUUGAGAGUCAAGAGCCCUGGAUUUGAUUAAGAAUUCUUAUAUUGGAGAAUAAAGAAACUUCUGGACUCAUGGAGACAUGUGGGUGGAAACAAAGACCCACCCUAAGAAGCAGCCACACGUGGACCUGAGCGAGCAGGAGGGGCAUGGCUGGGCCACCUGCAGCCAGAGACGACUCCUUCUCUCAGACUCGGACCUUCCUCCUGUGGAAAACGUGGCCUCUGCUGCUUCCUGCUCCUGACACUCUUCCUGGCCCCAGCCCAGCUCCCAGGCUUUGUCCUACACCCUUCCCUGCCUGCCUCCACCUCCCUACCCAUCGUGCCUUUGGACUCAGCGAGUCUUCUUGCUUGCCGGCCAGAUGCAGAGUAAAUAGUUAACUACACUUGAGUCAAAUGAGAUCUUGGGUUUUGUUCCUGCUCCUUCUAAAGCGGCCGCCAUUUGUACAUUGUGAGCAGCUCAGGAAUGGUAUUUGGACCUGCCCCUGCGCACCCAGGUUCCAGAGUGACCAAGAGUCAGUGUGGAAUUCCUUCCGGCUAUCGGUCAUCAGGGCCAUUGGAGAAGGCUCAGGCGGGCAAGUUGGAUGGUGAGGGCUGGUAUUCUCCACAUCCAGCUCUCUAGGUGGCUUCCAGAAGGACAAAAAUGAUCGGUUCAUUCCAUCUUCUGACGGAUCCAGGCAGCUGUGAGGACCCUCUUCUCAGGUGGCAGCUGGGCUCCAGGCAGGAUCUUGGUGCUUCACAACAUACAAGCUGGCUACUGGGGUUGGUAGUGUUUAUCAAGGACCGUCCUCUCCCAGUGUCUUCUGGUGACACUACCUGAUAGUGACUUGAGUCUUCUCUGUCCCUUUUACUCUGCAGCCACCAUGAUCAUGGUUGAAAACACUAAGUCCUGUCACAGUCAACCUCAUCCAACAUGCAGUCAAAGAUGAGUGUACUUUCUAAUUUCCAAAGUGAACAGACAGUUUGUUUUCAUAAAAACAAUUGAAGUUUCCCUGUGUGGUGUGUGGUGCGUUAUGGUGGGUCAGGACUUGGGGUCAUUGUUGGCAUCUCCAAGUCACCACAAAAUGAUGGAGGAGAGCCUCCCAAAGAUGUUCAGUGCUACUGAAAUUGGAAGAGGAUGUAUGGGAGUCCCCUUCCUUCCCUGGCACUUGCGGGCAGCCAUCAUACUGUUCAGAUUUGUUCAGGUUUCAGAAACAGAGGCCCCCUGGUAUCACCUCCGUGAACGAGGUGUAUUUUAAAGUCACGGGGGAAGCGAGGCAGAGGAGGGACAAUUCCAGCAGCUACCCAGCUAGGCCUUGUCAAGAAUCCCGAAGUCAUUGAGCACACCCAGUAGCUAUGGCCUGUUUCCAGGGACAGCAAGUGUCACAUCUGGUCGUCUUGAUCCUUUAUUCUGAUUCCCUGCUCCUGACUCUGGAAUUCUGCAGUGGGGAUGAACAGGGGGACCUACUGUCCUUGUUUGCAUAAGCCUAAGGUGUUUCUCAUAACAGAGGACUUUCAGGGCUAAACCUGGGACAUUCUUGGGCAAAUUGGAAUAAUUGGUCGCCCAGCUAGGUGACCCGGUGACCUUGCCUCUACUACUUUUCCUACUGUAAUUGAUGGAUGCUUCUGAUAGGCUUGGCCAGAUACCAUUCAGCGCUCUGCAUCUGGUCACUUCAUUGGCCACUACAGUCUACAGAUAGAUGCUAUUGGGUCAGGCACCAUUCCUGACCCAGUUAGUUCUCUCCUGAAUGGAAGGGUUGCAUGGUAUUGAAUAAAAUCCUGAGUAGGAGGAGCCAGAUGGACAGUGUGCAUGGCGGGGAUUCAGGGUCCCAGGGAUUUCUCUCUAAUGCAAGCAUACUAACACAGGUAGAACUAAUCUUUCCCAUUAAAAACAAAACCGUUCAUUAAGAAACAAAAAUAUAUAUAUAUAAAUAUAUAACAUAGCCUUUGGGAACAGUGGAAAAUGGUGACGUGUGUGUUCAUGUGCUACGCAGGAUAAAAAUUCUACAUCUUUGCUAGACAGAAACAAAGAACUAAAACCUUUGGGAUGGUUUUGUCUGGAGAGCAAAAGAGUUGGCGAUGAGUUGACUUCCUGAAAUUCCUUUGAACUCUAGAAUUAUUUAAAAUGUCAAGGGCGUGUAAAUUGGAGCUAAGUGUGUACUUUCUUACUGAAGUCUCCUGGAUAACCUUUGCGUUCCACUCAGAUAGUGCUGAGGGGGACCUCCCAGCUCACUCUUCCCUAUGCAGACACUGACUUUAUCUGGGAUAAGGGAGCGGAACUUGGAGGUGGUGGCGGGGGAGCGCAGGAGGGCAGAGUUGGGCCUGCCCAAGUUUUUUGGUGUUCAUGACAAGUAAGAACAGUCAGAGGCAAAUUAUAGGUUCUUCUGCAGGUUAGAAAAGCCAGGUUUUCAGACUUGCAUGACACCCUGAAGUUGUUGCUGCUUGUCGAGGGAUUCGCCUUCCAUCUUUUCUGCUGAAAGACAGGCAUGAGCAUCCGCCAUGUUGGAACAUGGGCCCUCAGCUGAUCUUGCACCCUGUGGCCACAGGGAGGACAGAGGUGAGGGUGCAGGCUCCAGAGCCUGUUCUCAUCACUCCUGAGAUUCCCCGAGUUUACCUCUGAACUGACCUAUCUUCACAGAUGGGGGAGGGAUGCUGGCCCAGCUGCUUGGGUGCCAUUUUUCUUUUUAAAAAAUGAACAUUUCAGCUGUUCCCUUCAUGUGUGUCCUGCAUUCAUUCUUUGGUUCCAGAAUAAUCGUGCUGUUGGGCCAAAGGCAACAACUCCCCCGACCCCAUACACACCCCCGCUCUUCUUAUCUUCUCAUCCACAUAGAAUCCCAGGGGCCAAAAUGGUCUCCAACCUCGCUCUUCUCUGGAUCUACCUCUGACUCAUGCAGGAAUCCCCUUUCAAACAUCUGGUGAGGGCUCGUCCAGCCCUCGGGGAGGCAACCUUUUUGGCAGAGUGGGAGAUGUGAGGGAAGGUUGAAUAUUAUUCUCCUACUUGAGGGGAAGCAAGAGAAGUUUGAAGAGCAAUUCAUGGCCUGCCUGCCAAGAGGCCACGAAUAUCAAUUUCUUACUGAGAUAGAAGCUAAAUGCAUUUUGCCCUCUUCACCCACAUCUCUCCAUCUCUUAUUUCUGGAUCCAGGCAGUAUAUCUUAUGCUGGUGAAAAGCGCUGGCUUGGGAGACGGGGGAACCCGAGUUCUGUCUCAGAGUCCCUCAUCUUAGUUCCAACCAUGUAAAGGAGGGUGUUGAGCAUGUGGUCCUGGGACUCCCUUAGAGCUAUGUUCAAUGCCCUCGGCUUUGGCUAGCUGCAAGGUCACAUGCCAGUAAUCAGGCCCUUUCUCUGGGCUGGUCUUGACAGUCCGCUACAGUUCCUUCCUGGGUCACAUUCCCAUCCCUGCCUGACCCAGCAGGGGUCUGACCAUUCCCUGACAAGUGGCACGUUGUCCCUUUGCCUUGGGGCUGCACGAGUCAAAACCAGAGCUGCCCCAAGGAAGUCCAUUACCAAAGAAUACUUCAAAGCUGUUUGCACAUGCUGUCAGUCGCACUGAGCACAAGUUUGUCGAGGGAGAAGGCAAACAGACACACAGCCGAUGACAGGAUGGGUGGAAGGGAGACUAUUUACCCCCCGGGGGACAGGGAGGCAAGGAAAAAACCUGCCUGCUGUUUUGACCAAUAAAUAAGAACUGGGAGCUCUGCGUGGCUAAAACUGUAGGGGAUUUAUUAGUUUGCUUAGUGAAAGGCAAAUAUUAAGUCGUAGCUGACCCGUCCUGGGACCUGCCUUUUGGCUUUUGUAUGCCGUCAGGCGCCGAUCACUGGGUACUCGAGGUUAUCAAGUUCUGUUGAAGGUGUGUGUGUGUGUGUGUGUGUGUGUGUGUAAUUGUUUUCCGUCUCCUUCUCCUCUUCCUCCUUCACCUGCCCCUUCCCACUGACAUCCCCCUUUUUCUGGUAACUCAGGUUUGGGGCUUGGAGGGGGCAGAAGCCAUGUUCUGCUCAUAAAACUGCUGCUCCCCAGGGCUCCUGCUGGCCUGGAACUACUGGUGCUGGUGAUGUGGCAGCUUGGGAAUGAGCCCACGGGUGGUCCUUGCUGGAACCCCACCAUCCUCAACAUCAGGUCCCAGGCUGGCAGGCAAAGUCGUUCUCUCUUUAACCUGAGAAUGAGCAGAAUUACAAGCAUCAGAAAAGAACAGGUCACAGCUGUUUCUGAGCUGUGAUCGCUCCAUCCUGGGUGACAGGGCCUACCUACCAGGACAGAUGGUUUUAGCCUCAUUUGCUGAAAGAUGAACUACUCAAGGAGGGGCCGACCCGACCUGGUGACUCACUCUCCAUGGAGAGUCCAUAUCGGAUCAGAGGGGCUGGACAGGCUGUCCAGUUUCCAAGCAUGAGCUGCGCCGGAGCUGGGUGCAAUCUCUUUACACUUUGCUUCCUCCCCCGCAGUGCAAACCAGUGUAUUCUAAAACGCUUCAGUGCUGGGGUGCUCAGGACUCACAAGGAGUACAGGACAGCAGGGCACGCUGCUCCAUGACAGACCCUCAGGGCCCUUUGUCAAGUCCACCCCUGGCUCAGGACGCUGCCAUUCUGUACCUAUUAGUCAUAUGGCCAGGAGUUGGGAAUGUUCUGGAAUUGCUUCAUUAAGAAAGUUCCUCUCGCAUUCCGGUAAUGAGUUUUUAUUGAACUCUGUGUGUGAGUCAGCUUUCCAUCACCAUAACAAAUGCCUGAGAUAACCAACUUACAAAGAAAGAGAAAAGGUUUAUUUUGGCUCACAGUUCUGGAGAUUGCAGCCCAUGAUCUGGCAGAGCCGUGGCUUAGGCCUGUGGUGGGGGCGGAAGUAUAUAGCAGAGCAGAACUACCCACCUCAUGGCUGGAAAGUGAAAGACAACAUGGGACCACAGACCCCUUCCUGAGGCACACCCCCAAAGGCCUGAUGAUCUCCCACUAGGCCCCACCCACCUCUUAACAUUUCCACCACCUCCCACCAGCACUGGGUUGGAAACCAAGCUUUCAACUCACAGGCUUUUAGGGAACAUUCCGGAUCCAAAUGUUGGCAUUUUUCUUCCUUGACCACGGAACUUUAGUAUCUCAUUGUGCUUAUUUGGAACUUGUUUUGGGUGUCCCCUUCACCCCCAGCAUGCUCACUCUUUCUCUUUUAAGAACUGGGUCAUUCCUUACUUAUUGAAUUCAUCCCUGAAAUGCCCAAUAAUGUUCAAGUCCCAGGGCAGGCACUCUGUGGUCAUCUCAUGCAGUCCCUCACUUAAUCCUCAGAAGACGGAGACUUCAAGGAACCAUCCAUUGCCUCCACCAAAUCUUUCAUGUAAGUGUUGGAAUUCAAACCCAGGGUUGUCAAGGUCUCAAGUUCAGAGCUAGUAAAUUUGCAGUGUGAUGGCUUUAAAUGAUGCAUGUACAAGAAAGAUGUUGAAUCGACUUUUCCUAUUGACAGUCUGUUGCUGUGUGUACCUCCAAAUUUGCCUGGUUUUUGUUUGCCCAGUACUAAUCAAUAAAGUGUUAUCUGAACAACAGUGAAAAUCGGUGCCUUUGAUUGGUUGCUUUCCUUGAAGGAAAUAGAAUGUGUCUGGAUAUUUUUUUCUCCCAGUUAACUGCAGGCCAGGUUCAUGUUUAAGGUUGGAAAGAGAAAUAUGAAUUCAAGUUUAGCUCAGGAUUUCUAGAGACUUUUCUCUCAUCUACCAGGAAGAAAUAUAGAGCACAUACAUACACACACAUCUGAGGUAGUCUCUGCUCUCAGAAUCUUAUUUAUGAGACCAGAGAAGACCAGCACACAUGAAGCCAUCGAUCACAUUGGCAAAGGAACUAUUGCUAGAGCCUCUGGGUGGAUCAGGACCCCUGAGAUUCACCCUAGUGUGAACUUUCCAUCAGAUUGCAGGAGGAGAAGUUGGACAUCAGUGGGUAGAUCCAUAGGCACAGGGGCUCACCAGGUUCCGGGGCUCACCACGUGGGGACCAAGGGCAAAGACAGGAGGCUCCGCUCCAGAACAAGCAGCCCGGGGAGGGGGAGGUUGUGCCCCUGCCACCUGGUCACUCCCUGCAGAGAGAAGGCUAGAACAGAGGAGCCAGGAGUGGCCAGAGCUCCAUAGCAUUUGGGGGAGAGAAGCACAGCAAGCUCUCCCACUCCUGGCCUUUUACAAACAUGAACAGUGAGAGCUGGGACAAGGAGGAGGCCAUCUGUGGACCAUGGCCACCAGCAGUUGUUUCAGAAAAGGAAAAAAAAAAGUGGUAGAAUAUUCUGCUGAGAGAAAUGAGGCCAUCCAUAAAGUAAGUCAGUGGUUUCAUGGAGAUCUGCAAUUUUAAAGCUCUUUGAAUCUCUUGAUGACUUUUUGAGAAGGUUUUGAGACCUUUCUUUUAUUGAUGAGGAAACUGAAAGUGAGGGAGAUUGAAUGACUUGCCAUGGAGCAGACUGUGCAAGGGCAGUGUUAUGGCCAUUACCACAAAGUAUCAGUCCCAGCAGGCUGCUGUAACAAAACACUCUGAAUCUCCUUUUUCACCUGAGUUUUUCUCAUUGGCACUGUAGUUGAAUAGGAGCUGGCAGUGGUGGGGACAAAGGUACUCUCUUUCAUGCAGAAAUUUGGGGUUCCUUGUGUCUUAGAAUCCCACUGCUUUCAGGUGCCACUUCUUCCACCAAUGAACAGAGGAUACCACCAGAGGACAUGCUCAUGUACAACUGCCAAGGCCUUGAAGGAACACCCAUCACUUCUGCUUACAUUCCACUGGCAGGGAUUGUCACAAAGGUCCCCUUGGAUGCAAAGAAUUGGGAAAUGUCCCACUCUGUCAAAGAAAGCAGGGAGAACACAAAUGUCAAUGAGCAUCAGUGAUGUCUGCAGAACAAGCAGCCUGGGGAGGGAGAGGCUAUUCCCCUGCCACCUGCCAUGACACCUGGGUCCCCUUCAUCACAGUGGCCAUUGAGAAUCGCGAGUUCUGGCCACCUGAAUGCCCUGUCAUCGCAGACCUCUGUGUAGGUUUAGAGCUUUUCUACUGUGAAUGUUGGAGAUUUUAGGACUCCUGUGAAGGUUUAGUGAUGCUUAAGGGUAGAGGGUGGGCUGACAGCUCCAGUCCCAGAUCCUCUUCAAGACUUUUAGCAAUGCAGCCUCAAGU
This is a long non-coding RNA of Marmota monax (woodchuck), 7839 nucleotides long. RefSeq lists it as uncharacterized. The record is from RefSeq and is a predicted model, not a curated record. The transcript has 3 exons. Lineage: Eukaryota; Metazoa; Chordata; Mammalia; Rodentia; Sciuridae.